This 495-nucleotide ribosomal RNA is filed under the name uncultured bacterium. RNAcentral describes it as "partial 16S ribosomal RNA". It matches the Rfam family "Bacterial small subunit ribosomal RNA", at positions 28 to 507 of the family's 1533-position model. The record is from RNAcentral.
GACGAACGCUGGCGGCGUGCCUAAUACAUGCAAGUAGAACGCUGAAGGAGGAGCUUGCUUCUCUGGAUGAGUUGCGAACGGGUGAGUAACGCGUAGGUAACCUGCCUGGUAGCGGGGGAUAACUAUUGGAAACGAUAGCUAAUACCGCAUAAUAGUAGAUGUCGCAUGACAUUUGCUUAAAAGGUGCAAUUGCAUCACUACCAGAUGGACCUGCGUUGUAUUAGCUAGUUGGUGAGGUAACGGCUCACCAAGGCAACGAUACAUAGCCGACCUGAGAGGGGGGUCGGCCACACUGGGACUGAGACACGGCCCAGACUCCUACGGGAGGCAGCAGUAGGGAAUCUUCGGCAAUGGACGGAAGUCUGACCGAGCAACGCCGCGUGAGUGAAGAAGGUUUUCGGAUCGUAAAGCUCUGUUGUAAGAGAAGAACGAGUGUGAGAGUGGAAAGUUCACACUGUGACGGUAUCUGACCAGAAAGGGACGGCUAACUACGUG